This 497-nucleotide ribosomal RNA is filed under the name uncultured bacterium. RNAcentral's name for it is "partial 16S ribosomal RNA". It matches the Rfam family "Bacterial small subunit ribosomal RNA", at positions 28 to 507 of the family's 1533-position model. The record is from RNAcentral.
GACGAACGCUGGCGGCGUGCCUAAUACAUGCAAGUUGAGCGCUGAAGGUUGGUACUUGUACCAACUGGAUGAGCAGCGAACGGGUGAGUAACGCGUGGGGAAUCUGCCUUUGAGCGGGGGACAACAUUUGGAAACGAAUGCUAAUACCGCAUAAAAACUUUAAACACAAGUUUUAAGUUUGAAAGAUGCAAUUGCAUCACUCAAAGAUGAUCCCGCGUUGUAUUAGCUAGUUGGUGAGGUAAAGGCUCACCAAGGCGAUGAUACAUAGCCGACCUGAGAGGGUGAUCGGCCACAAUGGGACUGAGACACGGCCCAAACUCCUACGGGAGGCAGCAGUAGGGAAACUUCGGCAAUGGACGAAAGUCCUACCGAGCAACGCCGCGUGAGUGAAGAAGGUUUUCGGAUCGUAAAACUCUGUUGGUAGAGAAGAACGUUGGUGAGAGUGGAAAGCUCAUCAAGUGACGGUAACUACCCAGAAAGGGACGGCUAACUACGUG